RNA transcript from Macrosteles quadrilineatus (aster leafhopper), 2208 nucleotides. It is a transcript of the gene named SET domain-containing protein SmydA-8-like, with no coding region annotated. The record is from RefSeq and is a predicted model, not a curated record. The transcript has 5 exons. NCBI's taxonomy places the organism in Eukaryota, Metazoa, Arthropoda, Insecta, Hemiptera, Cicadellidae.
CAGAAUUUAGUCUGGUCACCCCGACAUUCUAACCUCAUGUUGGACUUUGCUCAGGCUCGCUUGGUAUGAGUCACUUUUAGUUUAGAAAAGUUAAUACACAAGCAUGGCUGGUUCAUGUGCAGUCUGUAGCAAGCCAGCGAGUCAACGCUGUGCUGUUUGUAAAUCAGUGAACUACUGCAACAAGAACCACCAGAAGCAGCACUGGAAGACACACAAGAACGAAUGUAAAUGCUUCGAGGUCGCCACAUCCAGCAAACUGGGCCGACACAUGGUUGCUCUAAGGAACAUAACAGCAGGAGAAGUUAUUCUCAAAGAGUCGCCAUUGGUGUGUGGCCCCAAAGUCCUAGCAUUCGCUCAAUGUCUCGGCUGCCAUUGCAAACUAACCGGCUCUUCCGUCGACGAUGAAAUGCUCAAAAGUUUCUACUACUGCAGAAAGUGUAAUUGGCCUUUGUGUUCCCCAAAAUGUGAAAAGAGUCCUGUGCACCAAGCAGAAUGUGCAGUUUUAGCAAAGAGUAAGCACAAAACUGUGAUCAAAUACCAAGAGGAAGAACAAAAGGUUCCAGCGUACUGUGCUAUUGUGCCUCUUAGGUGUUUCCUUCUUCCGCCUGAAAAACUCAAUGAAUUGCUUUCUUUAGAAUCAAAUUUGGAAGUGUUGAUAAACACAACUCUUUACAAUGUUUUCAGGAUCAAUAUUGUAGGGUAUUUACAUAAAGCUCUAGGUUUGACUCAAUACAAUGAGGAGACAAUAUUGAAGGUGGCUGCAGUGUUGGAUACUAACUCGUUUGAAAUAAGGAGAGACAAAGGAAAUAUCAGGAUAAGAGGGUUGUACCCGAAAGCAGCGAUGAUGUCUCACAGUUGCAAACCCAACACUAAACAUUUCUUCGUAGGAGAUGACUUUACGAUGGUGGUCAUGGCAACGACCGACAUAAAAAAAGGUGAGAUAAUCAAUGCGACUUACACACAAACUUUGUGGAGCACCCAGGAGAGAAGACAACAUCUAAAGAUUUCAAAGUGUUUCGACUGUGACUGUGAAAGAUGUGUUGAUCCCACAGAGUUUAACACUUUCAUCAGCUGCAUCUUGUGUUCAAAGUGUAAAGGAUACAUGUUGUGCGAAGAUCCUCUAGACCCCAGCUCAAGAUGGAAAUGUCACAAGUGUUCACAUUUGAUUAACACCAAGCAAAUGGCUUUCGGCAAUGAAGCUCUGAAGAGGGAACUAGAAAACACGGGCAAAACCAUUCCAAUUCUUGAAGCUCUUGUGAAUAAAUAUUUGAAAGACGAGGGAUCAGUGUUGCACCCAACAAACUGUCACAUUAUUCAAGCAAAACAUGCUCUCAUUCAGCUUUAUGGAGUUCACCUUUCGGAGUUAUCAUCAGAGCAGCUGGACUACGCAGAGUCUAUUUGCAAUGACUUGCUAGACUUGGCUGAUAAACUAGAUCCAGGAAUGACCAGGUUCCGAGGCACCUUGCUGUACGAUCUUCAAGCAAUAAAGGUCGUCAAGGUCAAGGCGGAGUUUGAGAAAGACCUUAUCACCAAAGACAAAGCUCAGGAGCUCCUAACAGAGGUGACCGAGUUACUACAAGAGGCAACCAAGAUUCUGAAACAUGAACCAGACAUGAUAACUCUACUAGAAGAGCGAGUCAAAGAGCUGGACCAACUAUGUUCUACGUGACCAGGACAACUUCUGUGAUCAAACUCAAGUUCCUCUGUGUCUAGUGUACGUGUAAUGGCGCAGUAACGGAGUUCGCUCUCAUCUUGUCUCAAAGAAGAAGCCUAUUGAGAGCGGCCUAUUGCUACCUGUGGACGAGCAGAAAAUGGCUUCCCUGCACUCCACACCUAGGAAGGCCCAGCUUAAGUUUUAAGGGGAUAUGCCUCCAUCUAUAGGCCAUUUUAUAAAAUAUUUUGACAUUUUUCAAGUGACAAUUUUAAAUUCCUAAAUUAAUUAUUACUGAACAUGUAUGCAAAGUUUUAUUUGAUUUGGAGAUUUUUUUUAGUGAUUUUUUAAAUAAAAUUGGAAUCGUUGCGCCCAGCAACAAUAAGUAAAAUGAAAACUUUAAACGGCGUUUUCUCAAAAUUACGUUUUUCAUUUACUGCAUUUAGGUAAGUUUGAAUAACUUUAAAUUUACUUAUUAUUUUUCAAUGACAUUUUAACCAGAUGUUCUUAAUAGUAUUUAGAAGAUUGGUGUGUAUAGAGAUUAUCCUGCAAUUAUU